RNAcentral lists this long non-coding RNA (712 nucleotides) under Physcomitrium patens. Its description in RNAcentral is "long non-coding RNA (PPAT_LNC001455)". The record is from RNAcentral. Lineage: Eukaryota; Viridiplantae; Streptophyta; Bryopsida; Funariales; Funariaceae.
UUGUAAAUAACUGUUAAGUGGAAUUAUAAUACACAAAUUGAAACUUUAGUAGCGAUUCUGCUGAUCGGCAAGAAGCCAACAAAUGAAAAGAAGUUCGGUCCUUACUUUCCAGUCGGCACUUCGACCAAACGCGUCACUGGCACUUCUCUCACCACUGGAACCGAGAUUUUCUCCUCCACCUCUUCGACCACAACGCGGGGGACCUGCUCAAUCCUCGGUACGUCCACGUACUCGAUCACUGGCACCAUUUCUGUGACCUCUCGCUCUUCGGUGAUCACUCUGCGUUCAUUAAAUAAUAUUGAACCAAUUAGGCAUUGGGCUACAUCACUCACAUUUGAUGCUUCGCAAUAGAAUUCGUGCAACGCAAACUAACCUGUGGAAAGUUUCAAUUCUAGUCUUGGCCACCUCCCUCACCACUGGGACACGAUCAACGUGGCAAACCUCUUCCAUGAUAACUCUUGUCUUCGGUACAAUGAUUAUGCGCUCUUCAUGGUGAAUCUCCUUGACAUAUUCGGUUUUCUCCACUGUUCGCAUCUCAGGGUACCUUUGGAUGACCGUCACUCUGGUCUCAAACUCCUUGGGCUGCAAAAGCUCACCCACGUUGUAAUUUGAACCGUGGUUAGCCAACCACUCCAGCGACAGAAGCAACCUUACACAAGCUAAUUGAAAAUGCUAUCGAAGAACAGAUAAGUACUCGUGCUGUAGCCUCGGA